GACGAACGCUGGCGGCGUGCUUAACACAUGCAAGUCGAACGGUAGGGCUCCAGCUUGCUGGGGUACACGAGUGGCGAACGGGUGAGUAACACGUGGGUGACCUGCCCUGCACUUCGGGAUAAGCCUGGGAAACUGGGUCUAAUACCGGAUAGGACCGCACCGUGAGGGUGUGGUGGAAAGUUUUUUCGGUGUGGGAUGGGCCCGCGGCCUAUCAGCUUGUUGGUGGGGUAAUGGCCUACCAAGGCGGCGACGGGUAGCCGGCCUGAGAGGGUGGACGGCCACAUUGGGACUGAGACACGGCCCAGACUCCUACAGGAGGCAGCAGUGGGGAAUAUUGCACAAUGGGCGGAAGCCUGAUGCAGCGACGCCGCGUGGGGGAUGACAGCCUUCGGGUUGUAAACUCCUUUCACCAUCGACGAAAGGUUUCUGACGGUAGAUGGAGAAGAAGCACCGGCUAACUACGUGCCAGCAGCCGCGGUAAUACGUAGGGUGCGAGCGUUGUCCGGAAUUACUGGGCGUAAAGAGCUCGUAGGUGGUUUGUCGCGUCGUCUGUGAAAUUCCGGGGGCUUAACUCCGGGCGUGCAGGCGAUACGGGCAUAACUUGAGUACUGUAGGGGAGACUGGAAUUCCUGGUGUAGCGGUGAAAUGCGCAGAUAUCAGGAGGAACACCGGUGGCGAAGGCGGGUCUCUGGGCAGUAACUGACGCUGAGGAGCGAAAGCAUGGGGAGCGAACAGGAUUAGAUACCCUGGUAGUCCAUGCCGUAAACGGUGGGCGCUAGGUGUGGGUUUCCUUCCACGGGAUCCGUGCCGUAGCUAACGCAUUAAGCGCCCCGCCUGGGGAGUACGGCCGCAAGGCUAAAACUCAAAGGAAUUGACGGGGGCCCGCACAAGCGGCGGAGCAUGUGGAUUAAUUCGAUGCAACGCGAAGAACCUUACCUGGGCUUGACAUAUACAGGAUCGCGCCAGAGAUGGUGUUUCCCUUGUGGCUUGUAUACAGGUGGUGCAUGGUUGUCGUCAGCUCGUGUCGUGAGAUGUUGGGUUAAGUCCCGCAACGAGCGCAACCCUUGUCUUAUGUUGCCAGCACGUUGUGGUGGGGACUCGUAAGAAACUGCCGGGGUUAACUCGGAGGAAGGUGGGGAUGACGUCAAAUCAUCAUGCCCCUUAUGUCCAGGGCUUCACACAUGCUACAAUGGUCGGUACAGUGGGUUGCCAGUCCGUGAGGGCGAGCUAAUCCCGCAAAGCCGGUCUCAGUUCGGAUCGGGGUCUGCAACUCGACCCCGUGAAGUCGGAGUCGCUAGUAAUCGCAGAUCAGCAACGCUGCGGUGAAUACGUUCCCGGGCCU
Molecule: ribosomal RNA, 1342 nt
Filed under: uncultured bacterium
Lineage: Bacteria
Description: 16S ribosomal RNA
Rfam family: Bacterial small subunit ribosomal RNA
Source: RNAcentral